This 1270-nucleotide ribosomal RNA is filed under the name uncultured bacterium. Its description in RNAcentral is "partial 16S ribosomal RNA". It matches the Rfam family "Bacterial small subunit ribosomal RNA". The record is from RNAcentral.
AGAGUUUGAUCCUGGCUCAGGACGAACGCUGGCGGCGCGCCUAACACAUGCAAGUCGAACGAGCGAGAGAGAGCUUGCUUUCUCGAGCGAGUGGCGAACGGGUGAGUAACGCGUGAGGAACCUGCCUCAAAGAGGGGGACAACAGUUGGAAACGACUGCUUAUACCGCAUAAGCCCACGGGUCGGCAUCGACCAGAGGGAAAAGGAGCAAUCCGCUUUGAGAUGGCCUCGCGUCCGAUUAGCUAGUUGGUGAGGUAACGGCCCACCAAGGCGACGAUCGGUAGCCGGACUGAGAGGUUGAACGGCCACAUUGGGACUGAGACACGGCCCAGACUCCUACGGGAGGCAGCAGUGGGGAAUAUUGCACGAUGGGGGAAACCCUGAUGCAGCGACGCCGCGUGGAGGAAGGAGGUCUUCGGAUUGUAAACUCCUGUUGUUGGGGAAGAUAAUGACGGUACCCAACAAGGAAGUGACGGCUAACUACGUGCCAGCAGCCGCGGUAAAACGUAGGUCACAAGCUUCUUGAGUAGUGCAGAGGUAGGCGGAAUUCCCGGUGUAGCGGUGGAAUGCGUAGAUAUCGGGAGGAACACCAGUGGCGAAGGCGGCCUACUGGGCACCAACUGACGCUGAGGCUCGAAAGUGUGGGUAGCAAACAGGAUUAGAUACCCUGGUAGUCCACACCGUAAACGAUGAUUACUAGGUGUUGGAGGAUUGACCCCUUCAGUGCCGCAGUUAACACAAUAAGUAAUCCACCUGGGGAGUACGACCGCAAGGUUGAAACUCAAAGGAAUUGACGGGGGCCCGCACAAGCAGUGGAGUAUGUGGUUUAAUUCGACGCAACGCGAAGAACCUUACCAAGUCUUGACAUCCCUUGACAGACAUAGAAAUAUGUAUUCUCUUCGGAGCAAGGAGACAGGUGGUGCAUGGUUGUCGUCAGCUCGUGUCGUGAGAUGUUGGGUUAAGUCCCGCAACGAGCGCAACCCUUAUGGUCAGUUACUACGCAAGAGGACUCUGGCCAGACUGCCGUUGACAAAACGGAGGAAGGUGGGGAUGACGUCAAAUCAUCAUGCCCUUUAUGACUUGGGCUACACACGUACUACAAUGGCGUUAAACAAAGAGAAGCAAGACCGCGAGGUGGAGCAAAACUCAGAAACAACGUCCCAGUUCGGACUGCAGGCUGCAACUCGCCUGCACGAAGUCGGAAUUGCUAGUAAUCGUGGAUCAGCAUGCCACGGUGAAUACGUUCCCGGGCCUUGCACACACCGCCCGUC